This 3275-nucleotide long non-coding RNA is filed under the name Capsicum annuum. Its description in RNAcentral is "long non-coding RNA (CANN_LNC020729)". The record is from RNAcentral. Lineage: Eukaryota; Viridiplantae; Streptophyta; Magnoliopsida; Solanales; Solanaceae.
AUAAUCUAUUUCUUUUAUCAGUUUUAAUCUCUCAAUUCCUCUCCUCUCUCAAGAGUAAAAUGGAGAAUAGACUUUCUUUCAAGAUCAAGAAUCAAUCUCGUAAGUCCAAGAUUUCCAAAGAACAAAUCAAGAUUCGAGUUUUACUCUUCAAACCUUGUAUUCUAAGGUACGUGGAAUUUUUCUAAAUCUACAUGGGUAUGGUAUAUUCUUAUUAAUCAUGUUAAAGGUUUAGAAAUUAUGAAUUUACAAAAAGGAGGUUUUGAAUUUAUAAUUAGAUUCAUGCUUUUAAAGUUUUUGAUGAUAUUAAUUUGGUCUUGAGGCCUUUCCCCCAAACCAGAUUUAUAACCAUGUUUAACUAGAUAUAUGUAUGAGUUUGAUGAGUUUGAAUUAUGAAUUGAGAGCAUGAACUAUUUAAAAUAUCUCUCUUAUUUACAAGUCUCUUAACUUCGUAAGAUAUGAUGUGUUCGAAAUGUGAUAUUGAAAAUAUAAUUCAAUAUAAAAGUCUUGACUUUGUUUAUUACUUGAUUAUAAUUUUUGAAUUGAAGAGAGAGAGUUUUACAUGUUGGUAAGUGCUGAAAAUAUAUAUAUAUAUAUAUAUAUAUGUAUGUAUGAAAAGAAAUUUCAUGGGUUGUUGAAACUCAUGACCACCACAUGUUUGUUGGAAUGAUUGAAAAGAAUGACCUUUGCAUAAUCUGAUAAAUAUUAUUGAAGAAUGAAUCUUUCGGAAUUGUUUGAAGUAUGGUGGUCUAUCCUUUUUAUUUUGAAAUAGAAAACUGUAAAGGAUAUUUUAUGGCUCAGAAUUAUGACUUGCAAGUCUUGGUAUGAUGAUACCAAAUCAGAUAAAGUCAUGAUAAAACUCAGAACAGGAUACAGAUUUCAUUUUAGAUUUCAAAUUUUGAAUUCAAAAAGAUGCAUGUUUAGAAUGGGUUAAAAAAUGGUCACUAAGGGGUCGUUUGGUAUAGCGUAUAAGAUAAUACUGAAUAGGUUGUAUUAGUAAUGCUGGGAUUAGUAGUGCAGGGAUUAGUACUACUAGGAAUAGUAGUACUAGGAUUAUUUUUUAUGCAGUGUUUGGUUUAAUGUAUUGAAAACAAUAUGUAUUGUUAUAUUUUAAAAAGAAUAUUUGUUUGUUUACAAAAAUACCCUCAACAUAUUAUAACUUUGUGUAUUUUCUUUGCAAAACUUUAUCAUUCUUUUUGUUUAAAUAAAAAAAUGAACAAUAUAACUAAUUAUUUACUUUGAAAUAAUUUUAAGAUUUAAUCAUUCACUUGCAAUUUUUUUUUGGGGUUUAUCUUUUCUUUAUUUGUUUAUCAUUUGCUUGUUGUUCCCAUUUUGUGGUGUUUUUAAGUUGGAGGGGGUACGUGUAACUUUUGAAUGAGACAAUAGAAUUAUUAUUAACAUAAAGUUGUGUUCGUUAGAGUGUUAAAGCUAUGUAGAAAAAUUAUUUUUAUUUAUGAAUAUCCUAUUUACAAAAUUAAAGCUAGUAUGCAAUCAUGCAAUUUAUUUUCGGAUUUUCAUCAAUAAGUAUUUUUUAAAGUUAAUGGAGAAGUUUUUGUAUGAAUAAAAUUAUUUGGAGGGAUAUUAUUAUCUUGAUAAAUUGAAAAGAAGUAACUCACAUUGAAUAAAUUGAAAAAGAUUUAGAAAAAAAUUAAUGAAAUUUGAGGCAUUAAUAAUAAUAAAAUUUGUAAACUAAUUUAUUUAAAUAAAUUCAUCAGUACAAAUAUAAAAAAUAAAACUAAGAAAAUAAAAAAAAUAUUUAAAAGAAUUUGAGCGAUAUUUUUGUCUUUACACAUAUUAGUCCAUGGUAUUAAAACUCAUGUAUUGCUAAUACCGCCAUAUGGGAUGUAUUAGUAAUACACCCUAUAACCAUAUAGGGUGUAUAACUAAUACAUGGUAUUAGUAAUACAUAGGUCCAUAAUUCUACAAAACAUAGUAUUAAGUAAUACCACACUUAAUACAUGGACUAUUUUUUUUAAUACGUCCUACCAAACGACCCCUAAGAGAGUUAGGUGGUUACCCGAAGAAGGAACGAGUCAUAUACUUCAUUUCCCAAAACCGUAUUUUACCGAUACGGGUAUAUUAUCAUACGCUGGCCCAGUCCCUCGGGCGUAUCAGAUUCAAAUAAUUUAACCCUUGCGGCAAACUUGGGUUGUUGGCUUGGCCGCCGAGUUAAUGGCGGAUCCCAUAUUACUCGUGGGGAACUUUUAGAUAUGUAGGGCGUACCAUUUACCUCAGAAGUAAAAAAUAAAGAAUGUUUUUACAUCUACCGAUUUGCAUUGAAUGAUUAUUUUAAGUUGCCCAUGUGUUUUAAAUUAUUUCUUGCUUAACAUUUUAAUGAAAUGCUCUCACCUAUGUAGUAUAUAAAAGUACAUUAUUUUGAAUUUCUCUGCGUACAAGUAUAUCUGUAUUGACCCCCCCUCCGUCUCAGGAUCUGAGGCACAUUCUCGGGGUCCAGUUCAGCAAUAGAUUUGAGUGCGUCGGAAGAUUCAAUUGGGGAGCCUCCCUUACUUCGGAAGGCUUGUAUUAGAACUUGUUAUUGUUAUUUCAUUUUGAUUCAUGGCCCUGCUGGGGGCUUAUCAAAGAUUUCAGACAAAUGUCAUUUUUAGUUGUUAGAGAUUUCGCAGACUGAUGUUAGACGUUGUUUAGAGGUUUAUGUUUUUCAUUCCAGAUUGUUCGAUUGAAUUAUGAUAUCGACCAUGAUUCUGUUUUUUUUUUUAUUGUAUUUCGGCAGUUCCUCUUUGUAAAUGAAUGGUGUAUAUGAUUGCAAGUUAGAAGGGCUCUCGGGCCUUCAUGGUUUGGGAUCCCCGUCACGGCCAGGGCCCCGGUUCGGGUCGUGACAGUUCCUUAUCUAGAGUUUGACGAACCUUUUGUAGGAUGUGAAAUCAUGUUAUGUUUUUAUAUAAUUGAGUCAUUCUAUUUACUUCUAUUUGCUUAACUUAACUACACAAUGAUUGUAGUUAAUUGAUGAAUGGCCAACGAUUGACCGUAGAGUGAUUUUGAAUUGUUUUUUAGACUUUUGGAAAGUCUUUUUCAAAUAUAAUUUUAUACCCCAAUUUUUAAAAACUAUCAAAAUCACCUAUAUCAUUGAAUGAACCAUAUAACAAAACCUCAUUCUUAUCAACAUUAUUGAGAUUUAGAAGUAACAAGCUUGAUGCAAUUUAAGUGAAUAGAUUGAUAGGUUAGCUAGGGUUAAUUCGAGAGAAUAACACUAGGAAAUUACUACACUUAUUAGUCGAGAGAUAUCACUUAACCUUUUUAGGGUGAGCUAUUGAUGUGAU